AUGGGGUACACGUUCCCAAUGGCCGACAUGCUGUUCACUGUUUGUGAGUCAGUCUUCAGACAAUUACUACUUGAAAUUUGAUCCAAACACACACAUACCAAGAACAUUUUUUCUCAAAAAUUGCCACGUAGCCUCUCUAGACUCUUCCAUGCAACAGUGCUUGUGCAUAUAUACCAAGAAAAUAAAUCUAAAGUGAACGGCGUAAAAACAUUUGGUGAAAGCCAAAGAAUUUCCCCAGCAAAGAAAGGUUAGCCUAUUAAGAAAAUGAGGCAAAACAGAGAGUUAUGGGAUUUUCUUGACAAGGGUGGUUGCCUCUCUCUGUUAACCCUAUGAUUUUUCAAAAAAAGAAUCAUAAAUCAACAACCCUUGGAUUCAUGUUAAUUUUCUUGGAAAUUACUGAAUCUUGGAACUUGGAAAACAGCAUUCAUUGUUUCUUCAACUUCAACAUCAACAUCUGUAGUCAUUCCUCUGUUUCUUGAUUUCUCCUUUUUGAUCCAUAAUAUGAUAAUAAUAAUAGAGGCAGUGAUGAUAAUGAUGUUUAUUCGGAUCAAUUCUGGGCUAACCGGGUCGGGCCUAGAGACUAUCCGACCCGUAUCUUGGCUUGGCAGAUCACCUUUGCAGCCAUGGCGUGGUCGCCUCUCUUUUGCAUCGAUCUCUUUGCAUAUCUGAGCCUCUACUUACUGAAAUAUACAUGAACUAAUACUUUUUGUUUUUGUAAAUUUAUUACUCCCUCUAUCCCAAUUUAUCUAAGCUUUACUUUUUAGUUUAUUUGUUAAAAUUCUGUGUCGAUGUUAUAUAAAUUAGAACAGAGGGAGUAAUUACUUUUUGCUCCAAAGUUUCAGCUUAUGCUUCGGUGGCUUCACUCUUCUUUGGGUCGUUUGUCCAGUGAAGUGAGAUAAGAAAGAGGACGGCCCAUUAUGAUUAAGUCCACUGGGCUUCGUUCAGGCCCAUGCCAAAGAAAAAACCCAACUAGCAAGCUAUUUCUACCACAUCGAAUGCAGAAAGAUUCUUAGCUGAGUUUAUAUUGCAAAACAUUCAUAACUAUGCUUGUCCCUUCGGGGACAUCCGAUAAAAUUGGAACGAUACAGAGAAGAUUAGCAUGGCCCCUGCGCAAGGAUGACACGCACAAAUCGAGAAAUGGUCCAAAUUUUUUUCCAAUCAUUUUCUUUGUUUUUGCUUUUUUACUCAUCAUGUUCUAUCAAAAUUUUAACCUAACCUAGCAUUUUUUGGGCUUGGAAGAUUUAGCUCAAAAUGGAAUUGUUCGGAAGAGAACAUGUGUUUCGGUAUUGCACAAAUAUGAUUCAGUUAUAUAUUAUAAUAUACAUGUGAUUUGUCUAAGCAAUUUUUUUGAGAUUUUCAAUAGGUCAAUACCAAAAUUUGCUUUCUGGCUUA
Molecule: long non-coding RNA, 1392 nt
Organism: Lycium barbarum (goji berry)
Lineage: Eukaryota; Viridiplantae; Streptophyta; Magnoliopsida; Solanales; Solanaceae
Exons: 2
Source: RefSeq, a predicted model, not a curated record